AUGAUAUACAUAAUACCACAAGUUUUUUUUUCACCAAUAGCAACGGUCAGGUUUCAUCGGAUAGGACGAUGGUGCCCCUCUUCAAACACUAAGAAUACCCGAGGUCCGGUUCCGCGGAUCUCUCUUUCUCCCACUAUCGCAUUCCUAAUUGGGAUUGGCAUCUUUUUUUUUCUCCCUGAUGAGGUGGUGCGAGAAAUUUCAGAUGUACUAAUUUCUAGAAGCAUUUGUUCUGAUACUUUUACAUGGGAUCUUCUGUUCACUCUGACGAGCUUCGGGCAAAACCAAUUCCCAAGGUGUGACGGGCGGUGUCGCGAGUUUGCAGAGAUGAGAACCAUGAAAAGCAAGAUCUUGAAUAAGAAAACAGAAACCAAGGAAGAUGAAACGGACACUAACAUCAGACAACUCUCAAAUGGAUUUGGUUGUCUAUGA
Molecule: ribosomal RNA, 429 nt
Filed under: Triticum aestivum (bread wheat)
Lineage: Eukaryota; Viridiplantae; Streptophyta; Magnoliopsida; Poales; Poaceae
Description: partial small subunit ribosomal RNA
Source: RNAcentral